Macaca mulatta (Rhesus monkey) is the source of this 6021-nucleotide non-coding RNA. The record is from RefSeq and is a predicted model, not a curated record. Lineage: Eukaryota; Metazoa; Chordata; Mammalia; Primates; Cercopithecidae.
CAAGUGAUCCACCCGCCUUGGCCUCCCAAAGUGCUGGUUAAUUGUACAGUGUUAAAAAGAGAAUAAUAUUCUUUACCCUGAUGCCUGAAAAACACCCUACAAACAAAACUUCAAACUUCACCAAUGACUUGUCUCCCUUAUGCGAAAGUAUUUGUAUAAAUUUUUUUGAAUGAAAGAAAAGAAGAAAGAAAGGCACAAAAUAUAUAUAUAUAAAAAGGCAAUUAAAAAAUCGCUUCUGUGUAUGCUCAGCAGGGAUCUGGUAAAAAUUAAACUGAGGCUAAUGAAGCUCCAAGCCCCCGCAUAACGCCACAGAGGGAGGAAGACUGAAUAUUGCCUGCUAUGAGGCAAACUGCUUAAGGAGCUUUGUGAAAGUCUCACUGAAACCAACUUAGCAAAUGCUCCUGUCCCAAAGCCUUUAUGACGAUCAUCUCCAAUCAGAUAAUGUUCCUGCCACCAUGGAGCUAGGUGCCACUCCAGUGCAUGCAAAGUUAUCUCGGUGAGGUGUUAACUUGAAAGUCAAGGGAGACUAGUAAGUGGAUCUUAUUAAACAAUCCAGGACUCUAGGCUCUCGUUGAUCCCCGGGUGGGUGCUAGGCAUGUAGAUGGUUCAUUAGAAGACUCACCCAUUAGCUUUUCUGAGCCCAGUUGUGUAUUUUUUGUAAACCCAGGCAGCUUCCAGCAAAACAGAAGUUUUGGUUUCCUGACUUUUCUGUGGCUUGCGACCAUAUUCAAGCCUUUCCUGGAGGAUUUGCAGAGCCUCCCACCAUAGAAAUCUCCCAAGUGCUGGCUUUCUUGAGACCAGAGCUCAUGCAUCAUUGUCACCAAAUUUAUCCCCUGUGUUCUAUUCCCUCUAGGUCUUUUCUAGAGACUUGCUUGCUAAUUUCACAUAGACCACUGGAAGUGUGGUCCUCAGCCCAGCAGCAUCACAACAUCUGAGAGCUCCUGAGAAAUGCACAAACUGGCCAGGUAUGAUGAUACAGAUUUUGCUAAGCUGGUGCAACAGAAUACUACAUAGUGAUUAAAAGAGAAGGAAUUGACACGGUAUGAAGUUUAUGCACAACUAGUAUAUACUAGGAUGCCAGCUUUGAAAAUAGGAAAACAGAAAGGAAUAUUACACAGAAGAGGAGAAAACAAUAUGGUGACCAUGGAGGUAGAGGUUAGAGUGAUGCAGCCACAAGCCAAGGAAUGCCAACAGCCACUAGAAGCAGGAAGAGGUAAUGAGAACUCUGUAACCCAAGAUUUUUUGCAUUUUGUCUUAGCCACCAGAAAGCUCAGAGAGGUGGUCCUUGAGUGCAGGGGCCAUGUCUUUCUAUCUCUGGCAUCAGCGCAGGUCCUGGCACACAACAAGCACAUAACUUAAGUUUGCUGAGGGAAUGAAUGAAUGAACGGCAGACUGUCUCUUUGGUAGGACCAUGCAUUCAUUGGUGGAAGGUCCUACCCUUGCCAUUUCUUUCUUGCCUUGUAAGACGCAUUGCCCCAGAGGACACCAUGAACAAGGACUGACAAAAGCAAAGAAUACAGCCAAGGCAGUGAGCAAAGUGUCACCUUAGGAGGUUGGAUGCUGAUUUUAUUUGAAUGUCGGUCAGCAAUCCUACAGUAACCUGACUCCAAAGACGGCUGCCAUGAAUUCCUUCCCUCCCUGUACUUCCCCGUUGAGGAGCGGAGUCUCCAGAAUCUGGGCUGGACUGGGUUUGACCUACAGAAUACUGCAGAAGUAUAUGGCAUGAGAGAGUAUAGCCAACUCCAGGCUUGGCAUUCAAGAGGAAUGGAGUUUCUGCUUCCUGUAUUUGGGAGCCGUGAGCUGCCUGGUAAGAAGGUUAGACCACUCCACUCAAGAGAGAGGCUGCAUGCACAGGCACUGAAGGACUAGAUGUGUGAGCAAGGAGGCCAUCUUGGGGAACAGCCAGCCCAGCCGAGCCUACAAAAGACUCCAGCCCCAGUCAUCUGAUGGCAGCCACAGAAGGGAGCCCAGAAAUGCCCAGCUGAGCCCAGGCGAAAUCAUCUGAAUUGAUACAGUGUGAAAAUGAAUCUCUAUCCUAUGCCCUUUCACUGCUGGGAGAAAGAAAAAAAUGGAAAUUAUAAAGUUUUUAUCCUUUCUUUCAUGCUGUUCAAGUGUGGGCCCCGGAGCAGGCCUUGCAAAGCCUGGGAUACUCAAAGGUAGCAGCUGAGUUGUGGGUGGAACCUAAAUUGCUUUGCAUAAUGAAAUAAAAGAAUUGAGUGUGAGAGGAGGGGGCUAGAGAACAGAAACUCAGGAAAGUAGGAGGAGGUGUGUGUGUGUGUGUGUGUGUGUGUGUGUGUGAGUGUGAGAGAGAGAGAGAGAGAGAGAGCAGGGCAAAGAGAAAUAGGAAGGGGAGCUGAUCCCAGGGGAAAAGGCAGCCUCAGUAAAGUCUGCUAUGCACAAAGCCUGCUUUGAAUGUGAGGAUGAGUUUCAUGUUUGGCUUGGUGUGGAGCAGAGGAAAACCCAGGAGGUGCAGAGUGAGGGAAGUGGAGAACUAGAGGAAGAGGAAGGCAGAGUUAGAAGCGGCUGGGGGAAUGUGAGGUGCUAGGGCUUUAUAGGAAUCUGGAAGCUGGCAUGGGGAGCAGGGAGGGGUUAUGGCAGUAAAAAAUCUUUAACUCUGGAAGUGCAAAAUGACAUCUUCUGACAUAUUGAUUGAAGACUAGCUUCUUACACAAUUAUUAUGUACUAAAAAAAUGUGUUUUUUCCCCAAGUUUCAAGUAUCCAAAUUCUACAUUCAGUUUUCUUUGAGAUCCUUGCUGCUGUUUAACUCCUAGACCACAGCAAGACUUGUUGAGAUAAGUCAAGCUUGCCUGAAAUUAUAGUAAACAACCCGAGUGAAUGGGAAGCAGUGUAAAUGGAAAGAGAGCCAAGCUUUAUCAGGAGGACUAGGUUCUUGCUGCAAUUCUCUCGCUAACUUCCUGGGUGACCCUGAGCAAGUUGCUCAGUGAUUCCUAGCCUCAGGUUCCUCCCCUAUAAAAUAAAUAGCUAGCUGUCCUCCCUUGCUCCUGCUCUCGCCAUUUGAUGUGACUGCUCCCGCUUCGCCCUCUACCAUGAUUGGAAGCUUCCUGAGGCCUCACCAGAAGAGAUGCCAGCACCAUGCUUCCUGUACACCCUUCAGAACCAUACUCCUUAGUUAAAAACAGGUUAAGAAAAUAAUUAAAAAAAAAAAAAAAAGAAAGAAACUCAACUCAUAUUUCAGUGAUUAGAGCAAGAAUAAGGAUAUGGAAUCACUUGAGGCAAUGAAUUAAAGAAUCAUUAUGAAUGAAGAGCUCAUGUGUGAAUGACAAGCUGCAUAUUGAACAUAUUGUGAAUUAAAUAGCUAAGUCCUACAUCCUUCCAUGGAUUGUAAGAAAACAAACAAGCAACCAAAUUCAGAUGGACAUAGCAAUAAGAGUUAUGUGAAAAGAGGUAAAACGCAAGUCUGUGAAUUAAUACAUUGUGUUAGCCGAUUAUAGUGAUAGUGGAUUUUUUUGUGUUGAAGCCUGAGUCAGCCACUGCCUUGGGAAGAAUUGUGGACUAUAUUUCCAUCUGAAAAAAAAAAAAAAUUCUAGAAGAGUCAUCUAAGGAGGAUGCAUUGAAAAAGAACAAAUCCUGGAGAAUAUUAACUAUGGAAACUGCAAAGGAAGGGAGGGAUUUAACUGAAGAUGUAGAAUUGGAGGUGGAAAAUAAGGAUGAGGGUUUGCUAAGAAGACCGUGUCAGGACUGAUAAAGAAGAAGAAAUACAAGGGAGACCUUGACUUACUGCUGGUUUUUUGUUUUAUUUUCUGCACAGAAAUAGAAUGUCUUGAACUCUUUGGGUGGAGGUUUGAGUUCAAUUACCGAUUGUUUGGAGCUAAAGGUCUGUUCACUCACCCUAUAUUCUCGCAGAUAUAGGCCACAUAGAGAUGGUGAAAAUGAACCAAAAAACAAAAACAAGUGAGACUAGGGAGUGAGAAGGAGAAAAGAUAUCUGAAAAGAUGCCAAGAAAAUUUUGUGUCUGAAGGAACCUCUAUUCCAGUUGUUUGAUUUUACAGAUGAAGACACUGAGACUCCAGAAGAAUCCAUAAUUGAAGGUCACACACUAAUGGUUAGUGGCAAGAUUGGUAGUAGAACUUAGAUUUCCUGGUUUCCAUUUUUGCAGUCUUGUUACUACAUGUUCAGUAGUUAGCUUUGGGUUACUGCGUGCUCAAACUAGCUUCUUUACCCGAAGGACACAUUUUAAAAUAAAAUUUUCAGUAUCAAAGGGUGACACCUGCAAUAUCAUAUUAAGAGGAAAAUUAACUAGUAUUUGCUUGGGCAGACCCAUUAAAGCAGCCUUCCUGAAGAAUAAUAGAGAUUGCCAGCAGUUUCUAACAUGAUUCAUACCUUCUUUGUGCAUAUGCAAAGCACAUUUAAAAUAUGAACCCAUAGGGCAAUAGGAGAAAGUCAACUGAAUUAACAGUGAAAACAAAUGACUGUUCUUAAAAAAUAGCUAAUGUGUAUCUGUUCCUUUAAAACAAAAUUUUAAAAAUCAUUUUGGAAUUAUCAAAUAUAUCACUGUUUUUAGAAAAGAAAAAGCCAGCUUCUAACAUUUGCAGGUCCUGUCAAGGAAGCAAAUAGAGAUCCACAUAUAGCAUAUCUACAUAUCUACAUUUUACAAGAUAAGGUAACAAACUAUCAGGUAAAAUAUGUCCUAUAUGUAAGGGCAAGUAAAUAUUAAAAAUAAGAGGCUUAAUUCUUGUUAAAAAUAAGGGAAGAAAUUACCUUCCUUCACUUAGAGUAUUUAAUUUAGAAAAUGUGUUCUUGUAAGUUAUUUCCCUGUCUCUUUGACAUGUAUGUAAAUGUUUUUAGAGCUAAAUAAGUCUUCUGCUGUCUUUGUGACCCAGGAAUGUCUUUCUCAAGGAUCCAGCAGCCAUUGCUUUAGAAUAUAAUCAUUGAGGGAGAUAGCACCCCAUCUGUCAGUUUCUGAGGGACGGUAGGAGCCUAACUUUGGUGACUGCCUGCCCCUGACGGCUUGCAAAAUUACCUUCUGUCAUAAAGAUAGGAGAAGCUUAUUUUUCCUUUGUAUAAAAUCAUUUAACUAAUACAGAUGGUUACUCCAAUUACCAGGUGAAUUUAGGAUGAACCAUGUGUUAUAAAUGGUGCUAUCAAAUCCUAUUAUUUGAGAACUAAUUUUUGUUUAUCUUGGGAAAAGGUAUAUAAUGGGUCGCAUCUUCUCGGCUAUAUUAAAGGCUGGAAUUUCUUUCUGUCUUUGUAAUUCCUUAGUGAAUUGCCUGUGAUGUGCAUCACAUUUUGGUUUAAUAGUUUAUUCAGUAUAAAACUAUUUUCUCUACUACCUUUGAGGAGAGGAUUUCUGGGUUGGAAGAAGAUUUUGUUUAAAAUUAUAUUUUCUCAACAUAUCCUUUCACCUUGACAAAUAUACAGUCCUAGUGAAUUGGAAAAUGGGAUUUAAAUGAAGAAUUCUUAGACUCUCCAGAGUUCUUCCUCAAAAUAUGGCAUGGUGGGGAGAGCUGGCCCUGGCCUAUGACCUCACCUCAUCUUCCCUUACCACUGCAAUGGCCUUGGGCACACACGUGUGGUAACCCAGUCUGCACAUCCAGCUCUAUCCUCAACUCCCCCGGACUUCAGCCCCACAAACAUCAGCCCCUUGUCACUUCUUAGGGCUGGGGGUGUGCACACGGGUGGGGGUGCAGCUGCCCUUGAGAGGGUUGACUUGAGAAGGCACCAUGCACAGGCUCUGGGACCCUGGACAGGGCAUUCCGGAGUCCCAGGUGCCUGAACACAGUCUAAUAUUAUGGCCAAGGACUCAGGGUAAGCAUGUACUGUUGACACUGAAAGCUCCUGGCCUUGUGCAGAGAAGCCUGGCUAGAAAAGUGUCAGAGAGAGGCUGGGGAAGGGUCAGGGUGGGGCUGUCUAUCAUGCAGCAGGAGUAGUACACUUCCCCGCUCCUCAGGUCUCAGGGUGAAUAAUGUAUUCUGAGAGAAAAAGCAAGAAGUGAAAAGUACACCUAAUUUCCUUUCACGUUUACUUUCAUUUUUGUUAUUCUAUUUAUUUUAUUUUUUUGAG